CCUACGGGUGGCAGCAGUGGGGAAUAUUGCACAAUGGGCGAAAGCCUGAUGCAGCAACGCCGCGUGAGCGAUGAAGGCCUUCGGGUCGUAAAGCUCUGUCCUCAAGGAAGAUAAUGACGGUACUUGAGGAGGAAGCCCCGGCUAACUACGUGCCAGCAGCCGCGGUAAUACGUAGGGGGCUAGCGUUAUCCGGAAUUACUGGGCGUAAAGGGGGCGUAGGUGGUUUCUUAAGUCAGAGGUGAAAGGCUACGGCUCAACCGUAGUAAGCCUUUGAAACUGGGGAACUUGAGUGCAGGAGAGGAGAGUGGAAUUCCUGGUGCAGCGGUGAAAUGCGUAGAUAUUAGGAGGAACACCAGUGGCGAAGGCGGUCUGCUGGACAGCAACUGACGGUGAGGCGCGAAAGCGUGGGGAGCAAACAGGAUUAGAUACCCGGGUAGUC
RNAcentral lists this ribosomal RNA (439 nucleotides) under uncultured bacterium. RNAcentral describes it as "partial 16S ribosomal RNA". It matches the Rfam family "Bacterial small subunit ribosomal RNA", at positions 338 to 795 of the family's 1533-position model. The record is from RNAcentral.